This is a long non-coding RNA of Telopea speciosissima, 98 nucleotides long. RefSeq lists it as uncharacterized. The transcript has 3 exons. Lineage: Eukaryota; Viridiplantae; Streptophyta; Magnoliopsida; Proteales; Proteaceae. The record is from RefSeq and is a predicted model, not a curated record.
AAAUUACAAUUCAAUAACAGUAGUUCUGCUAAAACAGAAUCAGCACAAGUAUUUUAACUAUCACAAUAUUUGAUACAGAGAUCAUACUCUAUAACAAC